Molecule: long non-coding RNA, 277 nt
Organism: Nymphalis io (European peacock)
Lineage: Eukaryota; Metazoa; Arthropoda; Insecta; Lepidoptera; Nymphalidae
Exons: 2
Source: RefSeq, a predicted model, not a curated record
GUUUUGGAAGACUAUCCAGAAAUAUCUUGUGUCGGUAACUCUGAUAGAAUUACGGCCGAAUACUGAAAUGUCACUCAAAUAUUUAAGUGUAAUUAUUUGAGACGCCGUUAACUUAAAAUUUCGCAUACUCAACAUAAGAUAAUGAAGUAAAAACUGAAGACGCAGAGCAAGUUCCAACUUCCAUGACGAUCUUUGCUGAAUUGACACCAGCUUCAACGAACUUGGUACCUGCACAUACCUCUAAAGCAGCUGGUAAUGUUGUGAUACCUAAAUUGAU